GACUUGCUUUCUCUCUUACAUGCCUUGAGUGUAGGACCGUUGGCAUCUUAAUUACCCUCCCACACCCAAGGCUUGCAGGAG
RNAcentral lists this microRNA precursor (81 nucleotides) under Rhinolophus ferrumequinum (greater horseshoe bat). RNAcentral describes it as "microRNA 532 (ENSRFEG00010003220.1)". The stretch from base 10 to 81 matches the Rfam family "mir-532 microRNA precursor family". Lineage: Eukaryota; Metazoa; Chordata; Mammalia; Chiroptera; Rhinolophidae. The record is from RNAcentral.